AGAUGAAAUCAAGAGUCGGAUGCUCAACUGACUGAGCCACCCAGGCGCCCCUGUGCUGUAAUUUUUAAUUAGUUUUCAUCUCAGCUAAACUCCAGGGUGUCCUUGCCUGCCCUGAUGGCCCACUGAGAGGUUGCUGAGGGGAUUCUUGGAGCAUCGAAUUCCAAAGAGCUUGAGUCAGAAGAAGCUUUGCAGCCCAGGGCUGACUUUGAAGGAAGAGGGAGCAGGGGCGGCUGAUGUUACAGGUCUAAAUGUUGGACGAAGCUAUUCAUGGACAGUAACCACUUCAAUUCAAUUUUGAUACUCUCUACCUGGAGUUAGAGAGGCAGUAAGGAGGCUGGAUCCCACAAGAUGCUCCCACAUCAGAUGCCAACUCCAAGUCCGGGUUCCCAACGGUGCCUGACCAACUGGCUUUAAAUUGGUGGUUUCCACAACCCCCUGUUCAGGUCAUUUCCUGGCUGUAGGUCAGGGUGGGAACUGGACUCCUGCAUUCUGUGUUCCUUGCUGGAGACCAUGCUUGCUGGAAUCAAGUACCUGGGAGGAUGACAUCACAAACGACCUGAAGCACUGUGCUGGUUAAUUUUAUGUAUCAACUUGGCUAGACCAUGGUGCCCAGUUGUUUGGUAGGUGCCCACUUGACCCACCAUGGUACUAGACCAUGGUGCCCAGACACAGCCUGUUGCUGUGAAGGUAUUUGGUAUGUGAUUAACAUUUGCAAUCAACUGACUUGAAGUGAAAGAGAUUACCCUCCAUCCAUAAUAUGGAUGGGCCUCACCCAAUCAGUUGAAGGCCUUAAGAGCCAAGAUUGAAGCUUCCUGGAUAGGAAGGAAUUCUGUCUUAAGAUUGUAACAUGGAAGAACUGCUUGAGUUUCCAGACUGCUGACCUGCUGUAUGGAUUUUGGUCUUGCUAGCCCCUACAGUUGUGUGAGCCAAUUCCUUAAAAAUCUCUUUCUCUCUCUACAUGUACACACACGUAUGUAUGUAGGGGUGUUUGUGUGUGUGUGUGUGUGUGUGUGUGUGUCUUUAAUCUCAGGACCCUUGCCUCAGCCCUGGAUUUUGGUAAGAGCAUUGGGAAUAAGAGCCAUGAUGACAAAGAAGUCAGGUCUUCUCCACCAGUUCAAGUCUGUCUACACCAGGGGAAGACUCAUGUAGUCCCCAGGGGUUAAGAGGUUAAUAUGGAGCUUUUAUACAUCAGUUUAGUACAUGACAGUGGUGAACAACGAUGAAUUUGGGUGCUUCAUAUCCAUUUACCCUGUUAUUAAUAAUAGUUCUGAAUUUGCAGUUACAAAUACACUCGAAUUUUGUAACUUCGUAUGGUGACAGAUGGUGACUAAGUCUAGUGGUGUUCAUUUCACAGUGUAUGCAAAUAUCAAGUCAUUAUUGUUGUACACUUGAAACUAAUAUAAUGUCAUAUGUCAAUUAUACUUCAGUUAAAAAAAAAAGAAAUAGACUCCAUCUCUACUCAAUGUUCCUGUGAUUCCAGUGAGGCUGACCCAUCUGCUAACAACAAGGAUGGCAUUAGACCUAGGUUUAAACCAGCCUGUGUCCUGGCCAGUGUGAUUGGGUCAGGGAGGGGCACCUGACCUAAUUCUGGCUAGUGAAAGUUAGGUCCAGCCUUUUUGUUUGAACUGGAUAGAAUAGAAAUAGACAGUCUCUAUUUUCUGCUGUUCUCAUACCUGGGAGGAGUGUAUUGAGCUGCAGCAGCUGUAUUGUCACCAUGAGCGGGGAGGCCAGCCUCAGAAGGAAGAUGCAGAACUGAAAGAUGGAGAGAGAGAAACCAGGUCCCUGUGACAUCAUUUGACUAUCUCCAUCAGCCACACCUGAAGUAAAACCUACUUCCUGGAUCUCUCAUUUACAUAAGUAAAUGUAUCCUUUUUUUUUUUUUUUUUGCUUAAGACAGGUUGGAUAUGUUUUUUUUUUUUAAUCAAAAAAACCAAAGAAUGUUCAUGAUACCAUUAUGUGCGCUACUGAUUUUUUUUCUAAGAACAAGCCAGAUCAAAUAACCUGGCAUCUGAGUAGCAGGAAACAAAAUAAGGGACUGCUUGGCAUGAGAUAACAUUUGGAUAAAAACAGUGACUCAAAGAACAGGUUCUUUUUAGCUACACAUGCCUGAGAUGAAGGUCUUGGGCUACAUUGAUGCAAAAGUGGGAGCUUUUUCCUGCAAAAUUGCCUUCCUAGAGAAUAGGAUCUCUCUACAAUUGUAGAAAAAUUCUUAGCUAUGGCUUGGGGGUGCUUGGCAACCUUAAAUAGCAUUCAUGGGGUCAAUGGUUUUUUGUAUUUUU
Molecule: long non-coding RNA, 2279 nt
Organism: Lynx canadensis (Canada lynx)
Lineage: Eukaryota; Metazoa; Chordata; Mammalia; Carnivora; Felidae
Exons: 5
Source: RefSeq, a predicted model, not a curated record